RNAcentral lists this long non-coding RNA (736 nucleotides) under Junco hyemalis (dark-eyed junco). RNAcentral's name for it is "lncRNA (ENSJHYG00000013026.1)". The record is from RNAcentral. Lineage: Eukaryota; Metazoa; Chordata; Aves; Passeriformes; Passerellidae.
AUGUGAAUUAGCUAGUUCCAAAUGUUUUGGCUAGCAGAGUGAGAAGAAGGGAGGCCUGGCUUGUGGCUCUCUAAACUGUCUGUUUACAGAGUUGUGGGUUCCUGCUCCCUUUGGUCACGCACUGACUCAGCUGGAGGCUUGGGGAGUGCUCCUGUCCCAGCACCACCCCAUGGCUUGCUCCUUCCGAGAACACCUGAGCUGCCUCUCAUGCUCCCUGGGAUUCCUGUCAGGCAGAAAAGAAGACUGAGCCCAGCUCUUCUUCAUGAACUGUUGGACUACUGACUAAAUUAAGGUCAAUACAAGCAACUUCAGAGGAAGUCACUGCCUGGUUAUAAGGCUACGGCUUUGGACUGCAGAGGACAGACUGUGCGAGCAAAGCAAGAACACUCUGGGCCAUCAACAAGCAGAGGAUAGCUCUUGAAUAUCACAGGGGAUAUCCACCCGAUGGCGUGUGGUCCCUUUACCCUGGGGACUGGAGAUCCCUGAGGGAACCUGGGGCUCAGCUGCAAACCCUCGCAGAGCAUGGAGGGCUCAUUGAAGAGGACCAACCAGCCAACACACUGCCCGUGAAGCACAGCCAGGUAGCUGAGGUGAGGGGAGCGGGACUGCAGCCGUGCUGAAGCAGGUGCACUGGGAGCAGGAGGCUGAGGCUAAGGGACUUCUUUGCUGUCAUGCUUGAAAUUUGUGUGUCCUGCAUCUGCCCUUGAAAAGCACCAUCUGCCUCGGUGACAAAGAU